Molecule: non-coding RNA, 101 nt
Organism: Cadophora sp. MPI-SDFR-AT-0126
Lineage: Eukaryota; Fungi; Ascomycota; Leotiomycetes; Helotiales; Ploettnerulaceae
Source: the annotation of a GenBank genome assembly
GCUUCGCUGGAGUAGUGGUUAACUCGUCUGCUUCCCAGGCGCCUUGUUUCCCACAAGGCUCAUGAAAGCAGGAUACAAGGGUUCGAACCCCUUGCGUAGCA